This 1439-nucleotide ribosomal RNA is filed under the name metagenome. RNAcentral's name for it is "bacterial SSU rRNA". It matches the Rfam family "Bacterial small subunit ribosomal RNA". The record is from RNAcentral.
AGAGUUUGAUCCUGGCUCAGGAUGAACGCUGGCGGCAUGGCUAAGGCAUGCAAGUCGAACGCCCCGAUUUAUCGGGGAGUGGCAGACGGGUGAGUAACACAUUGGUAACCUACCUCAAUCUCAGGCAUAGCCCGAAGAAAUUCGGGGUAAUUCCUGAUAGCCCCUGAUAUCUCAAGAUUAUUAGGGUAAAGAUUUAUCGGAUUGAGAGGGGCCUAUGGUCUAUCAGCUUGUUGGUGAGGUAAAAGCUCACCAAGGCAAUGACGGAUAGCGGGCGUGAGAGCGCGACCCGCCUCACAGGGACUGAAGCACUGCCCUGACUCCUACGGGAGGCUGCAGUCACGAAUCUUCCACAAUGGCCGAAAGGCUGAUGGAGCAAUGCCGCGUGAAUGAUGACGCCCUUCGGGGUGUAAAAUUCUUUUAUAGAGGAAUAAUUUUGAAGGUACUUUAUGAAUAAGGGGCUGCUAAUCACGUGCCAGCAGCAGCGGUAAUACGUGAGCCCCGAGCGUUAUCCGGAUUUAUUGGGCGUAAAGCGUCCGCAGGUGGUUUGGUAAGUUCUGCUUCAAAUCUUGAUGCUCAACAUUAAGACUGGGCAGAAAACUAUCAGACUAGAGGAUGGGAGAGGCAAGUGGAAUGAUCGGUGUAGGGGUUAAAUCCGUUAAUAUCGAUUAGAACACCAGAUGCGAAGGCAGCUUGCUAGAACAUACCUGACACUCAUGGACGAAAGCGUGGGGAGCGAACGGGAUUAGAUACCCCGGUAGUCCACGCCGUAAACGAUGGAUACUAGACAUUGGCAGUAUCGACCCUGUCAGUGUCGCUUCUAAAAUAGCUAACGCGUUAAGUAUCCCGCCUGGGGAGUACGGCCGCAAGGCUAAAACUCAAAGGAAUAGACGGGGACCCGCACAAGCGGUGGAUCAGGCGGUUUAAUUCGAUUCUACGCGGAGAACCUCACCAAGGCUUGACAUCUGACCUAUGUUAGACUGGAGACAGACUAUCUUAGUGGUCAUGACAGGUGCUGCAUGGUUGCCGUCAGCAUGUGGUGUGAACUGCACCCUUAAUUGGGGUAACAUGCGCAACCCUCGUGCUGUGUUAAAUGUACACAGCAGACUGCCGGAGUUAAUCCGGAGGAAGCAGGGGACGACGUCAAAUCAGCAUGGCUCUUACGUCUUGGGCUACACGCCUGAUACAAUGGCCGGUACAAUAGGUUGCCAACCCGCAAGGGGGAGCUAAUCCUUAAAACCGGUCCCAGUUCGGAUUGGAGUCUGCAACUCGACUCCAAGAAGUCGGAAUCGCUAGUAAAUGCGUAUCAGCCACGGCGCAUUGAAUACGUUCUCGGGUCUUGUACUCACUGCCCGUCACACCAAGGGAGUUGGCAAUACCAAAGUUCCUCGUUCGAGGGGCAAAGGUAGGGUCAGCAACAGGGGUGAAGUCGUAACAAGGCA